GUCUGGUCUGUAAAUGACGCUGAGGCUCGAAAGCAUGGGUAGCGAACAGGAUUAGAUACCCUGGUAGUCCAUGCCGUAAACGAUGAAUGCUAGGUGUUGGAGGGUUUCCGCCCUUCAGUGCCGCAGCUAACGCAUUAAGCAUUCCGCCUGGGGAGUACGACCGCAAGGUUGAAACUCAAAGGAAUUGACGGGGGCCCGCACAAGCGGUGGAGCAUGUGGUUUAAUUCGAAGCAACGCGAAGAACCUUACCAGGUCUUGACAUCUUUUGAUCACCUGAGAGAUCAGGUUUCCCCUUCGGGGGCAAAAUGACAGGUGGUGUAUGGUUGUCGUCAGCUCGUGUCGUGAGAUGUUGGGUUAAGUCCCGCAACGAGCGCAACCCUUAUGACUAGUUGCCAGCAUUUAGUUGGGCACUCUAGUAAGACUGCCGGUGACAAACCGGAGGAAGGUGGGGAUGACGUCAAAUCAUCAUGCCCCUUAUGACCUGGGCUACACACGUGCUACAAUGGAUGGUACAACGAGUUGCGAGACCGCGAGGUCAAGCUAAUCUCUUAAAGCCAUUCUCAGUUCGGACUGUAGGCUGCAACUCGCCUACACGAAGUAGGAAUCGAUAGUAAUUGAGGAUCAGUACGCCGCGGUGAAUACGUUCCCGG
This 650-nucleotide ribosomal RNA is filed under the name Lacticaseibacillus casei. RNAcentral describes it as "bacterial SSU rRNA". It matches the Rfam family "Bacterial small subunit ribosomal RNA", at positions 727 to 1377 of the family's 1533-position model. The record is from RNAcentral. Lineage: Bacteria; Bacillati; Bacillota; Bacilli; Lactobacillales; Lactobacillaceae.